GAGCUUCCACCCUUGAAGCUAUCUCCGCCGCCCUCGAAGCUGCCUUUGUAGCAUUGGAAAGAUUUUCUGUCACACCCAAAGAAGCCUCUGGCGCUGCCUUGCUCGAUGCAGCUUCUGCUGCCAUCGAUGCAGCCUCUGCCACCCUCGAAGCAGCCUCUGAUGCUGCCGCCUCCGAGGUCGUCUCUGCUGCCCCAGAUGUAGCCUCCGUCGCUACCACUCCCAAAGCAGCCUCUGCCUCUCCCGAAGCAGCUUCUGAUGCUGCCACCACCGAAGCAGCCUCUGACGCUGCCGCUCCCGACGUAGCCUCUGUCGCUACCACCCCAGAAGCUACCUCUGAUGCCCCCGAUGUAGCCUCUGUCGUUACCACCCCCGAAGCAGCCUCUGACGCUGCCGCCCCAGAAGCAGCCUCUGACGCUGCCGCCUCCGACGUAGCCGCUGUCGCUACCACCCCAGAAGCAGCCUCUGACGCUGCCGCCCCCGACGUAGCCUCUGUCGCUACCACCCCAGAAGCAGCCUCUGACGCUGUCGGCCCCGACGUAGUCUCUGUUGCUAGCAACCCCGAAGCAGCCUCUGUCGCUGCUGUCCCUGAAGCAGCCUCUGAUGCCACUGACGUAGCCUCCGUCGCUACCGCUCCCGAAGCACCCACUGCUGCCCCCGACGUAGCCUCUGUUGCUAGCAACCCCGAAGCAGCCUCUGUCGCUGCUGUCCCUGAAGCAGUCUCUGAAGAAAUUGCUGAUGGUGACGCCACUGAGGCCUACGCCACAGCAGAACCAGCCGCCGCAGAUCAAGCCGCCGCUCUCCCUGCAGACCGAGCCGUCGCUCACCCUGCAGACCCGGCCGUCGCUGACCCUGCAGACCCGGCCGUCGCUGACCCUGCAGAACCAGCCGCCGCAGAUCAAGCCGCCGCUCUCCCUGCAGACCGAGCCGUCGCUCACCCUGCAGACCUGGCCGUCGCUGACCCUGCAGACCCGGCCGUCGCUGACCCUGCAGACCCAGCCGUCGCCGACCCGCACCCCGCAGCUGACCCGGACCCUGCUGCCACAGCUGCCAACCAAGAUCCUCCAGCAUCCGUUUCCGAUGCAGGCCCAGCAGCACCCUCUGCCGAGACCGGUCCAGCAGCACCUUCUGAUGGCGUCGCUGCUGAGGGCUCUGCUGUUCCAAGCGCCCCUGGCCGGAGUGCCCCUGUCCCGAGCGCCCCGGUCCCGAGCGCCCCUGUCCCAGGCGCCCCUGUCCCGAGCGUCCCAGGCGCCCCUGUCCCGAGCGUCCCAGGCGCCCCUGUCCCCAGCGUUCCAGGCGCCCCUGUCCCGAGCGUCCCAGGCUCCCCUGUCCCGAGCGUCCCAGGCUCCCCUGUCCCGAGCGUCCCAGGCUCCCCUGUCCCGAGCGUCCCAGGCGCCCCUGUCCCGAGCGUCCCAGGCGCCCCUGUCCCGAGCGUCCCAGGCUCCCCUGUCCCGAGCGUCCCAGGCUCCCCUGUCCCGAGCGUCCCAGGCUCCCCUGUCCCGAGCGUCCCAGGCGCCCCUGUCCCGAGCGUCUCAGGCGCCCCGGUCCCGAGCGUCCCAGGCUCCCCUGUCCCGAGCAUCUCCGGCGUUCCUGUCCAAGGUGUCCUUGCGCCGGUUCCAGGCGUCCAUGCGCCGGCCCCAGGCGCUCCGGACCCUGUCUCCAGUGUUCCUGGGUUCCCUGUCCCAGCUGCAGCAGACCCAGGGUUCGGUGCCGCCAGCCCUAAUGAUCCAGCGAGUCCAGGUGCCACGUCUACCC
This is a long non-coding RNA of Clupea harengus (Atlantic herring), 1752 nucleotides long. The record is from Ensembl. NCBI's taxonomy places the organism in Eukaryota, Metazoa, Chordata, Actinopteri, Clupeiformes, Clupeidae.